AGCGAACGCUGGCGGCAGGCUUAACACAUGCAAGUCGAGCGGGCAUAGCAAUAUGUCAGCGGCAGACGGGUGAGUAACGCGUGGGAACGUACCUUUUGGUUCGGAACAACACAGGGAAACUUGUGCUAAUACCGGAUAAGCCCUUACGGGGAAAGAUUUAUCGCCGAAAGAUCGGCCCGCGUCUGAUUAGCUAGUUGGUGGGGUAAAGGCCCACCAAGGCGACGAUCAGUAGCUGGUCUGAGAGGAUGAUCAGCCACAUUGGGACUGAGACACGGCCCAAACUCCUACGGGAGGCAGCAGUGGGGAAUAUUGGACAAUGGGGGCAACCCUGAUCCAGCCAUGCCGCGUGAGUGAUGAAGGCCCUAGGGUUGUAAAGCUCUUUUGUGCGGGAAGAUAAUGACGGUACCGCAAGAAUAAGCCCCGGCUAACUUCGUGCCAGCCGCCGCAGUAA
RNAcentral lists this ribosomal RNA (451 nucleotides) under uncultured bacterium. Its description in RNAcentral is "partial 16S ribosomal RNA". It matches the Rfam family "Bacterial small subunit ribosomal RNA", at positions 29 to 523 of the family's 1533-position model. The record is from RNAcentral.